Oncorhynchus tshawytscha (Chinook salmon) is the source of this 1621-nucleotide long non-coding RNA. NCBI's taxonomy places the organism in Eukaryota, Metazoa, Chordata, Actinopteri, Salmoniformes, Salmonidae. The record is from Ensembl.
CUUCCCUCUAUCUUAUCUUCCCUUCCCUCUAUCUUCUCUGUAUCUUCCCUCUAUCUCUAUCUUCCCUCUAUCUCUAUCUUCCCUCUAUCUUAUCUUCCCUUCCCUCUAUCUUCCCUCUAUCUUCUCUGUAUCUUCCCUCUAUCUUCUCUGUAUCUUAUCUCUAUCUUCCCUCUACCUUCUCUCUCAUGCAGUCCAAAUCAUUUAGCGGUGCAUUCUUAGACACAAAGGCACACUGAUGUCAGGUUAAUGCUGCGUCCCAAAUGGAACCCCAUUCCCUUAUAUAGAGCCUUAUGGGCCCUGGUCUAAAGUAGUACACUAUAUAGAGCCCAAUGGGCCCUGGCCUAAAGCAGUACACUAUAUAGAGCCUUAUGGGCCCUGGUCUAAAGUAGUAUACUAUAUAGAGCCCAAUGGGCCCUGGUCUAAAGUAGUACACUAUAUAGAGCCUUAUGGGCCCUGGUCUAAAGUAGUACACUAUAUAGAGCCUUAUGGGCCCUGGUCUAAAGGAGUACACUAUAUAGAGCCUUAUGGGCCCUGGUCUAAAGGAGUACACUAUAUAGAGCCCAAUGGGCCCUGGUCUAAAGGAGUACACUAUAUAGAGCCUUAUGGGCCCUGGUCUAAAGGAGUACACUAUAUAGAGCCCAAUGGGCCCUGGUCUAAAGUAGUACACUAUAUAGAGCCCAAUGGGCCCUGGUCUAAAGGAGUACACUAUAUAGAGCCCAAUGGGCCCUGGUCUAAAUAGUACACUAUAUAGGGAAUAGGGUGCAAGUAGUACACUAUAUAGGGAAUAGGGUUCCAUUUGGUGCCUCAGGUCAUUGAUGGGACAGUCAGCUGGUCUAUUCAGCUAGUAAUAAUUAUAGUGUGUGUGUCUGUGUGUGUGUGUGUGUGUGUGUGUGUGUGUGUGUGUGUGUGUGUGUGUGUGUGUGUGUGUGUGUGUGUGUUGUGAACGCUGGUCAUCCAAGGCUUCGGUCAGAACAAAGUUCUGCAUGAUGAUGUCAUUACGUGGGUACUGAUAGCAAAGACUGUCUGUCUGUCUGACUGUCUGUCUGUCUGUUAUUACGUGGGUACUGAUAGCAAAGACUGUCUGUCUGUCUGACUGUCUGUUAUUACGUGGGUACUGAUAGCAAAGACUCAAAGACUGUCUGUCUGUCUGUCUGUCAUUACGUGGGUACUGAUAGCAAAGACUGUCUGUCUGUAUGUCUGACUGUGUGACUGUCUGUCUGACUGUCUGUCUGUCUGUCAUUACGUGGGUACUGAUAGCAAAGACUGUCUGUCUGUCUGUCUGACUGUGUGACUGUCUGUCUGACUGUCUGUCUGUCAUUACGUGGGUACUGAUAGCAAAGACUGUCUGUCUGUCUGUCUGACUGUCUGUCUGUCAUUAUGUGGGUACUGAUAGCAAAGACUGUCUGGCUGUCUGUCUGACUGUGUGACUGUCUGUCUGACUGUCUGUCUGACUGUCUGUCUGUCAUUACGUGGGUACUGAUAGCAAAGUACUUUGCAGUAACUGAGAACUAGUUGGCACGUGAACAGAACAGAGAGAUAGCACACAGUCACAGCUGUACUACCCCUGCAACAACAGAGAGAUAGCACACAGUCACAGCUGUACUACCCCUGCAACCACAGA